CUGUCCUGGAGGCGUGUUGAAACAAUACACAGUGAAGAAUUCACCCGACAGCAAGAGGAGGGGCCGUGAAUGAAACACACACGGCAGCAGUGUUAAGCGCCGCACUCUGUAAACAGCAAAAGGCUGUAACAAACUGCCCAAAGUGGAAUGAAGGCACAGAGGAAUCCGCUCGGGAGCGGAAAAAAUGAAAGAAACAGGAAAGACAACACAAGGGAAAACGGGGAAAACACAGAGGGCCAAGGUUCACUGGAAGGAGCUUUAAGCAGUACUCACUACAAAACACACAGCAAGAAAGUUGCAAUGCACAGGUGCUUUUCAUUAACUGGUAUUUAAAGCUGCUUCUGAUGGAAGACUAGAGCACACCUCGCAUUGGUCUUGAAGUAUUAGUCCCUUUUCCAUAUCGCUCACUUUCCCAUAGUUUCCAUGGGCGAUAUAUGACACCUGGUUAUGUUUUGCCAUGUCCAUGGGGCCGAGCGAGAUUGACCACUGGCACACUCUCCUGCAGCAACGAUGCUAGUGCCCCUCAGAGGUCACCAGAGCAGAGACAGGGGAUGGGACCCCUGUUCCAGAUGCAAUUGUUGAUUGGGGUGGACUGUCUUCAGUGUAGCCUGACCACAUCGUACCGCUGGGCGGGGAAGCCUACGAAAGGUGCCAGGGGUCUGCAGUGAUGUUGGUUACCCACACAACCAGUCUUGAAAUACAGACCAAGGAGGUCUUCAUGUGCAUGAGUCAGAGAGCCAAACAAAACCCGGUGGCACAAUGAAGGUGAGGGUCGGAGCACACCGGCUGAGUUGGAAUCCAGUUGUGCCAUGCACACUACUGCCACCUUUCAGCCACUCUGUUGGGGAGGUGGAGCAUGACCAUGUGUUAUAUGAACCAGAAACUGGGGAUCUAUGCCUGUGCAGGGCAUAGCUAGAGGGAACUCUGGCCGUAGUGGUCCUGUCAUGCAAAUCGGUCAUCCAAAAUGGUUAUAGGGGCAGAAGACUAACCAAACUAGCAGCUGGUUCCCUUUGGAGUUUCCCUCGGGAUAGCUGGUGUUCGGUAAUCCCAGUUUUAUUUGGUGAGGCAACAUAUUCUCAGACUUUAUAUGGGUGAGGAGACCAGCUCGCUGGCAUAAAUCUGGGCAUCAAAUGGCAGUGCCCAGCGUGCCAACUUUGGUACACAGAACUGGUGCUGCAGGAUGAACCGUACGCAGGUUACGGAGCAGAUGCCAACGCUCAUCAGGCCCCAGAAAAGGGGUUGGUUGAUAUAGACAGCAUAACAGUGGCCAUGGAAUUCAGCAUCUGCAAAAGAGUGUGUAGCAAUUCACCUUCCACAUCAAUUAGUCCCUGCAAUGGAUGGUUCUGGAGUAUCAGGCAUGGGCUGAGAGCUGCAGGGGCUAUGUCGUGAUGAGUAGGAAGGCUGCUGCAGUGUGCACAGUAGCCUGGGGCGAGUUCCCUUGUGGAGCCACUGGAAGUGCAGAUCUUGGUGGUAGUAGCAAAUGCUGAAAUGAGAACUUUGAGGACCGUAGUGGAGGAGGGUACCAUGUGAACAGCUGUUUUACAUGGGUCAGUCGUUCCUAACAGAUGAGCGAGCAGCAUUCAGGAGGGACAGCAAUGUCCUCCGUUGCCCUCAGCCAAUCAAAAGGGAGCCAGGUUCAGAUCCCACAAACCCAAGUUGCAUGGAAGGGCAUCCUUGCGGCAUCCAUUGCAGUAACGCAAAAUUGAAGCACGGGUAAACAGAGUUAGUACCUAUGACUCUCUUAAGAUGGCCAAAUGAUAUGUCAUCUCAUUGGUGGCACGCAUUAAUUAAUUAAUGGGAUUACUGCUGUCCCUACCUACUGUCUAGUGACCACCGCCUAGGGAAGAGGCUUGUUGAAUUAGCGGGGGCAGGAGACCCCGUUGAGCUCAACUCUAGUCUGGCACUUUGAGGAGACAUGGGAGGUGUAGGUGAAAGGCUCUCGGGUCAGCAGUGAAAUACCACUACUGUUAUAAUUCUUUCAUUUGCCCAAUGAGAGGGUGGAGGGGCAAGCCCAGUGGGGCUGUCACUUCUGGCCCCAAGCAUCUAGCUCCAGCUAGGCGCAAUCCGCUGCAGGGACAUUGUCAGGUUGGGAGCUUGACUGGGGCAAUACAUGGGUCCUACAAUAACACAGGUUUUCUAAGGCUAGUUUAGGGAGUACACAAUCAUCCCACUGAGACAAAGGGCAAAAGCUUGCUGGAUCUCGAUUUUCUGUAUGAAGACAGACCGUGUAAGCAGGGCCUCAUGAUCCUUCUGACUUUUUGAGGUAUCAGCAAAUUACCACAGGUAUAACUGUCUUGAGGUGGCAAAGCAUUCAUAGCGACCCCGCAUUUUGAUCUUUCCCAGUCUGCUCUUCCUAUCAUUGUGAAGCAGAAUUCAGCAAACAUUAGAUUGUUCACCCACUAAUGGGGAACUUGAGCUGGGUAUAUACCGUUGUGUGACAGAUUAGUUUUAUCCCACUGAUGACGUGUUGUUGCAAUAGUAAUACUGCUCAGUACAAGAGGAAGCUCAUGUUCAGACAUUUGGUGCAUGUGCUUGGAUGAGGAGCCAAUGGGGCGAUUCUGCCAUGUGUGUGAUUAAUACUAAAUGCCUCUAAGUCAGAAUCCCCUAAACUGUAACUGUAAUGCAGCACUGUGGAGCCUCAGUUGGUCUAGGAUAGCCAAUCUCUAGACCAGUGCAUAGAGCUGCUUGCCUCAGGACUCAAAUGUGGACAGAAGGGGACACCCCCUCUCGCCCGUAGUGCACCUCAUGUUAAUGGGGAAUGUGGUGCAUAAUAAUUUGUAAAUGACCUGAUUUUGGGUCAGGGUUUUGUAAGUAGCAGAGCAGCUACCUUGCUGCAAUCUAUUGGAAGUCAUCCUCUGAUCCAAGGUUUUGUCAAAGUAGCUGCU
Molecule: ribosomal RNA, 2885 nt
Filed under: Ambystoma mexicanum (axolotl)
Lineage: Eukaryota; Metazoa; Chordata; Amphibia; Caudata; Ambystomatidae
Description: eukaryotic LSU rRNA
Rfam family: Eukaryotic large subunit ribosomal RNA
Source: RNAcentral